GCAGUGAUAGUUCAGUGGUAGAAUUCUCACCUUCCAUAUAGGAGACCUGGGUUCAGUUCUCAGCCAAUGCA
RNAcentral lists this transfer RNA (71 nucleotides) under Loxodonta africana (African savanna elephant). It matches the Rfam family "tRNA". From Rfam's summary of the family: Transfer RNA (tRNA) molecules are approximately 80 nucleotides in length. Lineage: Eukaryota; Metazoa; Chordata; Mammalia; Proboscidea; Elephantidae. The record is from Rfam by way of RNAcentral.